This 497-nucleotide ribosomal RNA is filed under the name uncultured bacterium. RNAcentral's name for it is "partial 16S ribosomal RNA". It matches the Rfam family "Bacterial small subunit ribosomal RNA", at positions 28 to 507 of the family's 1533-position model. The record is from RNAcentral.
GAUGAACGCUGGCGGCGUGCCUAAUACAUGCAAGUCGAGCGAACGGACGAGAAGCUUGCUUCUCUGAUGUUAGCGGCGGACGGGUGAGUAACACGUGGAUAACCUACCUAUAAGACUGGGAUAACUUCGGGAAACCGGAGCUAAUACCGGAUAAUAUUUUGAACCGCAUGGUUCAAAAGUGAAAGACGGUCUUGCUGUCACUUAUAGAUGGAUCCGCGCUGCAUUAGCUAGUUGGUAAGGUAACGGCUUACCAAGGCAACGCUGCAUAGCCGACCUGAGAGGGUGCUCGGCCACAGUGGAACUGGAACACCGUCCAGACUCCUACGAAAGGCAGCAGUAUUGUAUCUUCCGCAAUGGGCGAAAGCCUAACGGAACAACGCCGCGUGAGUGAUGAAGGUCUUCGGAUCGUAAAACUCUGUUAUUAGGGAAGAACAUAUGUGUAAGUAACUGUGCACAUCUUGACGGUACCUAAUCAGAAAGCCACGGCUAACUACGUG